Molecule: ribosomal RNA, 301 nt
Filed under: uncultured bacterium
Lineage: Bacteria
Description: partial 16S ribosomal RNA
Rfam family: Bacterial small subunit ribosomal RNA
Source: RNAcentral
CAGCCGCCACGGGAAUACAGAGGGUGCGAGCGUUAAUCGGAUUUACUGGGCAUAAAGCGUGCGUAGGCGGCUUCUUAAGUCGGAUGUGAAAUCCCUGAGCUUAACUUAGGAAUUGCAUUCGAUACUGGGAAGCUAGAGUAUGGGAGAGGAUGGUAGAAUUCCAGGUGUAGCGGUGAAAUGCGUAGAGAUCUGGAGGAAUACCGAUGGCGAAGGCAGCCAUCUGGCCUAAUACUGACGCUGAGGUACGAAAGCAUGGGGAGCAAACAGGAUUAGAUACCCCCGUAGUCCCUGUCUCUUAUAC